Molecule: long non-coding RNA, 520 nt
Filed under: Gopherus agassizii (Agassiz's desert tortoise)
Lineage: Eukaryota; Metazoa; Chordata; Testudines; Testudinidae
Description: lncRNA (ENSGAGG00000025725.1)
Source: RNAcentral
UAAGCCUGAAUUUUAAACCCUAUUGAAUGUUUUAUCCUUAUUUUUCAGAUGGGUAAACCGAGAUGCAGAGUAAAUAAUUUCCCCACGGUUACAAAAUGAGACUGUGCCAAAGCUGGGACUAGAACCCAGAGGUUCAGACGCCUUUUCCAGUGUUCUAUGAAUACCACUUCCUCUAUUUCUCCAGCCAGUGGUUACAUUAUACAAAUAGCAAGGCUUGGAAGGAUUAGGCUUUUAUUGGCCCUGCCUCUGAACAACCUACAACAGGGGUGGACAACUCCAGCACUGAGCUCCUGCUGCUGGCCAUGGAUUUCUGGAUAUCUUUUAAAACGAUGACUGAAAACAUCAUACAGCAGUAGAAGAUUUCAGAUGAGAAAUAUUGUAACUCAGUUCUGAAUCGUUAUCUACAAAGGUGGAGUAUGUUUUUCCUUUGUAAAGGAAUACUAGGCUGGUAGAGUGCUACAUGCUGUUGUUUUUUAUAUGUUUAAAAGAAAAGGGAAAAUAAAUGUUAAAGAUUUGCACA